ACAAACUUUACCAUUUUCACCUCCUGUAAUGAAACUGGAUAUAAUUAGUUAUCAAAGGUUCCAGGCGUAUAAUUUGAUAUAUAAGGCUGUAGAUAACAACAAUUAGAAAACCCAUACCGUAUAGUCGGCUAUUAAAAGGCCAGGUGUGAAAAAUGUCAAACAAAUGGCCUAAAAACAAUUUACGAAAAUAAAAUAUAACAGACACGUCACAAGGACUACAACUAUAGGCACAUACAGAAUCAUAUUAAGUUGUUGUUAAGUACAAUGCAGAAUGAGGUUGGUUGAAAUCUGGAUACUGUGAUUCAAUAAUACUCGUUGGAUAUUAAUUUUCGUGAAUUUCAUGAGUACCGGGAAACCACGAACUUAAAUGUUCAACGAAUUACAAAUUUUCUUAAGGAAUGAAUGCAAACUUUGCCAAAACCACGGAUUUGAAUGCAAACGAGUUUUUCUCGAUCCAUGAAAAUGGAAACCAC
Molecule: long non-coding RNA, 473 nt
Filed under: Mytilus galloprovincialis (Mediterranean mussel)
Lineage: Eukaryota; Metazoa; Mollusca; Bivalvia; Mytilida; Mytilidae
Source: RNAcentral